This is a long non-coding RNA of Pelodiscus sinensis (Chinese soft-shelled turtle), 262 nucleotides long. RefSeq lists it as uncharacterized. The record is from RefSeq and is a predicted model, not a curated record. Lineage: Eukaryota; Metazoa; Chordata; Testudines; Trionychidae.
CGGCUAGUGAAGCUGCUCCCCUAGCUGGAGGGGUGGAGGUCUCUGACGAGCUGCACUUUGGUGCCAGCAGUGAACUGCAAAGUGCGCCGGUUCCUUCGGCCUGGCAGGCGGGGGAGUUCCUCAAGUUCUGCCGCUUCUGCUGCUUCUGCUGCAAGAUCCACAUGUGGGGCUGGGGAGUCUGCUGCCAGCCGAAGAGAGCUGCUGGGAUCUGGCCUGCGCCCCCGGCCACCUAGGGGGGCGGGUGCCAUUGUAGCACCACCCG